Panthera uncia (snow leopard) is the source of this 1096-nucleotide long non-coding RNA. RefSeq lists it as uncharacterized. The record is from RefSeq and is a predicted model, not a curated record. NCBI's taxonomy places the organism in Eukaryota, Metazoa, Chordata, Mammalia, Carnivora, Felidae. The transcript is spliced from 2 exons.
CAGGUUCUCGGCCAUGAGCUUCAUGUGCUGUUGAGAGAACACAGGACACUGGCCACAGGACCACGCCCGGCCAUCCAGCGCCACCGGGGGCAUCCUAUGAAAUCUCGCUGAGGGCCAGGCCGUGACGGAGGCGCAGCCCGCCAGGCUCAGAGGGGAGUGUCGGAAGGAGCCCGGGCCCCAGGGCCCCAGGGCGAGGCGGCAGCCGUGGGGGAGGAGGUCCUGGGUCCCCACCCUCGCAGCCCCCUGUCCUGUGGGUGCUGGAAAACACGACUGUGGCUCUGCUUGUUUGCUGAAAAACUGAGUAACUCCUUUGGAAUUUGGCCUAAAAUACACACGCUGAUUUUCGAUAACCGUUACUUACGGGAAACACAAAACUGUGCGCACAAAGUCCGCCGCUGCCCCAGGAACCUGGCCGCCCCUGUGGGAGGCCCCGGCCCCACGCGGGGCUGGACAGCACACCACGUGCCCUCUGGCUUUCACGGCGAGGAACCCCUUUCGUGGACUAUCAUCAAGAGCCUCCGUCUUCCGCUUCAACCCCAUCUCCCCUUGUGAGGACCCUCAGAUCUGCCGGGCCUCCGGAGACCCCACUUGACCCCAGACGGUUCCCUUCUCUGAGCCCGGCCUGUCUUCCACGGGAGGCGGGAGCCUGCGGGCGGCCGCUCUCCCCGUGGGCCGGGAACUGCCGGGCCUUUGCUCGUCCGCAGCAGGCUCUGGGAGGGCUCCUGCUGGGGAAGGGGGCAGGCGGCUCACGGCGGCCAGUCUGCGGGGGAGCGGGCUCUCCUUGCAGGGGACGCAGCAGGCCGACCGGAGCAGGACGCGGGCGCAGGAGCGGACCCUGGCCCGAGGACCCGCAGCGGCGAUGUCUGCACAACCUUCGGCCUGAGGGGCGAUGGUGACGGCUUGACUUAGUUCACCAACCGGGAGGAGCAGAACUGCCAGGCCACGUGAGGGUCGAGCCCACUUCGCCUGCUAACGGCUGAUGCAACUAUCCCCAAACAGCAAAACCGGCACCUUUCAGGCCGGAUUCGCGGCGGACUCUCCCAGCUGAUGUCAUUUAAUACUUAAGAGACCUUCUUAAAGGUCUUUUGAUGAGAGG